CCUCUCUCCUGGCUGGCGGUCCUGACUUUCUAGAAAGCCUGUUGUUCUCUGCGACCAGUGAGGCAGUACGAACUUCCCAGCUCUGAAUGUGUGCGUGUGUGCGUGAGUGUGUGUGUGUGUGUGUGUGCUUGUGUUUGAGUACUCUCGUAUGCGUGCGCGCGCGUUCGUGUGUAUGUGUGUAGCAGCAAGACCCAGAGGUUUGUUUUGCAGAAUGAGAGUGUGAGUCUAAAGUCCUACUUUAUAUAACUUAGAACCAUAAAGCUAGACGACAGAAACAGUGAGAAGUACGAAUUCACUAGGGGUGGAGCAUGUAUUCCAAAAGAGGGUGGAACAGAAGGAAAGGGAGCUUCUCUCAUCCCCAUCCACAGAAGCUAUCUACUAGAUUGUGAGCUCCUUAAGGUCAGGGACUGUCUUUUGUCUCAUUGUUUCCCCAGUGCUUAGCACAGUAUCUGGCAAAUAGUAGAUGUUUAAUAAAUGUUAACUAAUUGAUUGAUUAAUGGUUGAU
RNAcentral lists this long non-coding RNA (505 nucleotides) under Phascolarctos cinereus (koala). RNAcentral's name for it is "lncRNA (ENSPCIG00000035060.1)". The record is from RNAcentral. Lineage: Eukaryota; Metazoa; Chordata; Mammalia; Diprotodontia; Phascolarctidae.